CGGUAGGGGAACUGCCGGAAGGAUCAUUG
Molecule: ribosomal RNA, 29 nt
Filed under: Anathallis lobiserrata
Lineage: Eukaryota; Viridiplantae; Streptophyta; Magnoliopsida; Asparagales; Orchidaceae
Description: partial 18S small subunit ribosomal RNA
Source: RNAcentral